AAUCCGUUGUAAAUGGCGUACGGGUGAGUAACACGUGGAUCAUCUGCCCUAGAGUGGGAAUAACGAGGGAAACCUUCGCUAAUACCGCAUAAUCCCGAGAGGGAAAGCCGAAAGGCGCUCAAGGAGGAGUCCGCGGUCGAUUAGCUAGUUGGUAGGGUAAUGGCCUACCAAGGCUACGAUCGAUAGCCGGCCUGAGAGGGCACACGGCCACACUGGCACUGAAACACGGGCCAG
This 234-nucleotide ribosomal RNA is filed under the name uncultured bacterium. RNAcentral's name for it is "partial 16S ribosomal RNA". It matches the Rfam family "Bacterial small subunit ribosomal RNA", at positions 83 to 334 of the family's 1533-position model. The record is from RNAcentral.